Molecule: ribosomal RNA, 495 nt
Filed under: uncultured bacterium
Lineage: Bacteria
Description: partial 16S ribosomal RNA
Rfam family: Bacterial small subunit ribosomal RNA
Source: RNAcentral
GAUGAACGCUGGCGGCGUGCCUAAUACAUGCAAGUCGAACGCUUAAGGAGGAGCUUGCUCUUCUGGAUGAGUUGCGCACGUGUGUGUAACGCGUAGGUAACCUGCCUGGUAGCGGGUGAUAACUAUUGGAAACGAUAGCUAAUACCUCAUAAGAGUAGAUGUAGCAUGACAUUUACUUAAAAGGUGCAAUUGCAUUGCUACUAGAUGGUCCUGCGUUGUAUUAGCUAGUUGGUGGGGUAACGGCUUACCAAGGCGACGAUACAUAGCCGACCUGAGAUGGUGAACGGGCAAAAUGGGACUGAGACAAGGGCCAGACUCCUAAGGGGAGGAGCAGUAGGGAAACAUCGGCAAUGGAGGGAAGUCUGACCGAACAAAGGCGGGUGAGUGAAGAAGGUUUUCGGAUCGGAAAGGUAUGUUGAAAGAGAAGAACGGGUAGGAGGGUAGAAAGUUCACGCUGUGACGGUAUCUUAACAGAAAGGGACGGCUAACUACGUG